CCCUUAGAUGUCCUGGGCCGCACGCGCGCUACACUGAUGCAUGCAACGAGUUUAUAACCUUGGCCUGAAAGGUCUGGGUAAUCUUUUGAACGUGCGUCGUGAUAGGGAUAGAUUAUUGCAAUUGUUAAUCUUGAACGAGGAAUUCCUAGUAAACGCGAGUCAUCAGCUCGCAUUGAUUACGUCCCUGCCCUUUGUACACACCGCCCGUCGCACCUACCGAUUGAAUGGUUCGGUGAAGAUCUCGGACUUCGAUAUUUAUUCUUUAUUGAGUUUAUAUUGUGGGAAGUUAUCUAAACCUCAUCAUUUAGAGGAAGGUGAAGUCGUAACA
RNAcentral lists this ribosomal RNA (328 nucleotides) under uncultured eukaryote. RNAcentral's name for it is "partial 18S ribosomal RNA". It matches the Rfam family "Eukaryotic small subunit ribosomal RNA", at positions 1470 to 1796 of the family's 1831-position model. The record is from RNAcentral.